Molecule: ribosomal RNA, 497 nt
Filed under: uncultured bacterium
Lineage: Bacteria
Description: partial 16S ribosomal RNA
Rfam family: Bacterial small subunit ribosomal RNA
Source: RNAcentral
GAUGAACGCUGGCGGCGUGCCUAAUACAUGCAAGUCGAGCGAACGGACGAGAAGCUUGCUUUUCUGAUGUUAGCGGCGGACGGGUGAGUAACACGUGGAUAACCUACCUAUAAGACUGGGAUAACUUCGGGAAACCGGAGCUAAUACCGGAUAAUAUUUUGAACCGCAUGGUUCAAAAGUGAAAGACGGUCUUGCUGUCACUUAUAGAUGGAUCCGCGCUGCAUUAGCUAGUUGGUAAGGUAACGGCUUACCAAGGCAACGAUGCAUAGCCGACCUGAGAGGGUGAUCGGCCACACUGGAACUGAGACACGGUCCAGACUCCUACGGGAGGCAGCAGUAGGGAAUCUUCCGCAAAGGGCGAAAGCCUGACGGAGCAACGCCGCGUGAGUGAUGAAGGUCUUCGGAUCGUAAAACUCUGCUAUUAGGGAAGAACAUAUGUGUAAGUAACUGUGCACAUCUUGACGGUACCUAAUCAGAAAGCCACGGCUAACUACGUG